Non-coding RNA from Lupinus angustifolius (narrow-leaved blue lupine), 194 nucleotides. Lineage: Eukaryota; Viridiplantae; Streptophyta; Magnoliopsida; Fabales; Fabaceae. The record is from Rfam.
AUACCUUUCUCGGCCUUUUGGCUAAGAUCAAGUGUAGUAUCUGUUCUUAUCAGUUUAAUAUCUGAUAUGUGGGUCAUUGGCCCACACGAUAUUAAAUUAAUUUUUUAAGGGGAGAAGCUAUUACAAUAGCUUGCUAUUGGGUUUCUCAAGCGUCGCCCUUCUGUUGCACUACUGCAUGGGCUGGCACACCCCAC